This 253-nucleotide ribosomal RNA is filed under the name uncultured bacterium. Its description in RNAcentral is "partial 16S ribosomal RNA". It matches the Rfam family "Bacterial small subunit ribosomal RNA", at positions 524 to 776 of the family's 1533-position model. The record is from RNAcentral.
UACGUAGGGGGCUAGUGUUGUCCGGAAUCAUUGGGCGUAAAGAGCGUGUAGGCGGCCCGGUAAGUCCGCUGUGAAAGUCGGGGGCUCAACCCUCGAAUGCCGGUGGAUACUGUCGGGCUAGAGUGCGGAAGAGGCGAGUGGAAUUCCUGGUGUAGCGGUGAAAUGCGCAGAUAUCAGGAGGAACACCAAUUGCGAAGGCAGCUCGCUGGGACGUUACUGACGCUGAGACGCGAAAGCGUGGGGAGCAAACAGG